This 551-nucleotide long non-coding RNA is filed under the name Bemisia tabaci. Its description in RNAcentral is "lncRNA ENSSSA2NGG004063". The record is from RNAcentral. Lineage: Eukaryota; Metazoa; Arthropoda; Insecta; Hemiptera; Aleyrodidae.
GCACUGCACUGCGAUACGUUGCUGCUCUGCCGGUUGCGUCCCUAAAUCGCACGGCGCUUGCAUGUGCAUUCGCGUCCUCUUCGUGUAUUUCGGAUUACUGCCCGCCAAUCGAGGCUCCUUCUCAGGUGAUGAUUUAAACGUCAUCGAGCCGAGGGCUUGCGGACCUGCCUCGUUCUCCUCAGUAAAUCGCGUCAAAUAAAAGUUCUCUUAGAAAGUGCGGAUAGAAGUUCUCUUUUAAUCAACCCAAGGAUGGAGAACGUUCCUCGCGCGGCUACCAAAUCGAUUGGCGUGUGAUACCGUUCAUAAAUUUCUUGGUUAUUUAAGUCAAUUCAUCGGUCGCAAAAGAGAAUACAUAAGUUUUUAGUGUUUAGCCAUCAGCCGAGUGCGACGAUUCAUUACUGGCCCCAUCAGUAAGUUCGACGCGAUGAUUCCCGCAGCCAGUUUUCCGCGAGGGAAUAUACACGACAAGAAUGAAUGCUCAUCCGUUUUGAUGGAAACAGAUUUUAGGUCUAUAUUUUACGAUUUCUUUCCAUAAGAAUAUAAUUUGACCA